UAGAUUUUGGGUUGUGCUGCCCAAGGUGCUCCCUUCCCCAGAGGCACCAUGCGCUAUGGGAUGCAGACCUUGAGUCCUUGCUCAGCCAUUACAGUGCUGCAUGUAGGAAUAACCCAUUUCUUGUUCUGAACCACAGAAUCAUGGGGUUGGAAGGGACCUCUGGAGAUCUCCCAGUCCAAUCCUGCUGCUAAAGCAGGUCCCUACAGUAGGUCACAUAGGAAAGCGCCCAGUUGGAGCUUGAAUGUCACCAGAGAAGAAGACUCCAUCACCUUUCUGGGCAACCUGUUCCACUGCUGUCCCAUCUCACAGUAAAGAAGUCUGAGGACUGGCCUCAUCAGCAGGAAUCCUAUGGAAUGGAUCCCAUCAGUGAGCAGGGAGAAUGAUCUGGACCAGCAACAGCCAACAGAACCCCUCAGUGUUCAUCCUCCAGAAGUCAGUGCUGCUCCUGCCUCUUUCAACCUUACAAGUGUCUUGCAGAGAUGUUUUAGCAUUUGAAGAGCUGCGUGUUGUAGGAUUUCUGUUGUCCCUGCUCUUAUGAUCUCAUCCCAUCCCGUAGAUGAAUGGAAAAACUGAUUUGGCUAACGUCUUCUUUCCCAAAGUUUGAAGCCUAAGGGAUGGUGCUACUUGCAGAGGGACCCGCAGGGACACCGUGGGAUUACUGGUAGGAGGAUGGCGUGGGGCUGCCCACAGCACAUCUCCUCUGGCACUGCCUGGGCAGGGAACCCUGCAGUUCAGCACAACCCAGCUCCCACCACCACAUCAGCCUCUUGCAGUGGCUCACUCUGAGCUGUCGCUAAUGAGGAUGGUGCUCAUCAUGUGAUCGCGCCUUUGGGCAAGGGCGGUGGUGCUGCUAAUUGGCUUCUCUGGCUGCGGUUUCCUUAGGAAACAAGGUUAAAGCAACUCAGCUCAAAAAUGUACCUCCCGGAGGAAGGCACUUCAAUAUUUCUUCCCCUGUAAAUGGAAACAGCUCUAUGCCUGACGCCAGCUCCUUUCUAUCACCAGGUGGAACCAAAGGAUGUAGGUGCAUCUCUGCUAUGUUCUCUCUUGGUGUGUUGGUCCUGUGGCCCAGCCCUGGAUCAACACAUUUUCUAUCUAAUGUAUUUGACCAUCAGAGUUACGAAAAUUCUGAAAUGAAGUUCUCCCAUAUAAAUCAAAUAGAAAGGAAGUGGCUUUGUAUCAAACCACUGAAUUAAUAUAAUUAUCGUAUCGAUUAAAUCAUCAAACAAACCUGCAGCUCCUCUAUCAGAUUCACUGUGCCUGGUUCACGCUCCCUGAAGCACAGACCACUAUGCCAACCGUUCCCUUUGCAUUCCAGGCAGAGAAUGGAGGCUGCAGUGAUCUCUGGCCGCAUCUCACACACAGAGCAGGCCUCCA
This is a long non-coding RNA of Lagopus leucura (white-tailed ptarmigan), 1374 nucleotides long. RefSeq lists it as uncharacterized. The transcript has 3 exons. The record is from RefSeq and is a predicted model, not a curated record. NCBI's taxonomy places the organism in Eukaryota, Metazoa, Chordata, Aves, Galliformes, Phasianidae.